CCAGAUCGGCCCACUUUAGUUCCAAUCAACCAACUCCUCUUCCCCAAUUUCCAAUCGACCCAGCCCACUCACCUCUAACCCUGACCUGGCCCACCUUCUUUUCUCAAAGAAAAACUCAGCCAUCGCGUGCAUUUUCCAGAAUAACAGCAGCAACAUCACAGUGUCUUCACGACUGCUCCAAAACGCAGCAGAAACAGCAACCAAACGGCCCCUACUCGUCUCCAGUUCAUACGAAAAUACAUGGAAACUUCAUGCCUUGUACGCGAUGCAAUGCUAUUCUACAAUUUUAUUGCCUUCUUGUUCCCAACCCUGUCAGUUCGUAUAGCAAAUCACUAGAAAAGCAUGUGAAAUAGUCCAUGCGCCUUGGGAUUGAGACACGUAGCAUCUCAAGGACAAUCAAAUUGAUCCAAGACGUCCAUAUCCCCUUCCCUCUUCAGGAAUGGGUUGAAAUCUCAGAAAAAGGGUGUUUCCCUUUAUUGGUAAAAGGUUUCUGGGAGUUUGAAUUUUGAACGCGCCCUUUAAUCCAAGAGUUUUAUCCGUUUCCCUCUGAAAGAUUGGAACCUAGUUUUCUUCUAUAAAUACCUCCUCUUUCUCCAUUAUUAAAGGUGGGAAAAAGGAUUGGGAAAUAUAGGAGUCAAAUUAGUACGGACAGAGAGUGAAAAAACAAUGUUAUAUUAAAUAUUCUUGACAUUCAAAGCCAUAGUCUUUCAAGUUCAGAUUGUAGCCUCUUUCUCGCUUGUUGUUCGUCAGAAUUCGGUGAGGUCGAGGUCGGUGGUUGAAGCAUUUUGUCCCUCUUCAUCUCCAGUCGCAUCCCAGAACCAGAUCGAUUGAAAGGAAGCUAAUAUUAUUGGGUUAAACACCCAAGAAGACAGCAUCAGUAGUAGCUGAAAAGGCUAAAAAAAUAGCAUUUCCUUGGACUUGAAAAGCCUGAAAAUGGCAGCAGCUGAAGCAGAGUUCCAAUAACUCAGAAGGCUGAAAAUUGAAGAUAAAUAUUGGGUUGAAACCCAUAAUCAAUAUGGCAGCAGUGGUAGCAGGGUAGCAGAUUAAGGUCCUGGAAGCCCAAAUUUUAAUCUCUCGAUUAUAUUUAACUCUUUUAUAUUGUGUGUUUGCUAUGGUCUAACUAACUUAUUUGUUUGGCCUUUGAACUAGAUGAAUCCUCUCCAAAAUGAAUGUUAUUUCUUAAAUUGUAUUUCUUAUUUCUUAUCACUUGUAGAAUGACUUAAGAACCUUUUAUGUUUUUUCAUAAUUAUUGUGUAUCAA
Molecule: long non-coding RNA, 1260 nt
Organism: Solanum lycopersicum (tomato)
Lineage: Eukaryota; Viridiplantae; Streptophyta; Magnoliopsida; Solanales; Solanaceae
Source: RefSeq, a predicted model, not a curated record